AUUGAACGCUGGCGGCAUGCCUUACACAUGCAAGUCGAACGGCAGCACGGGUUCUUGCACCUGGUGGCGAGUGGCGAACGGGUGAGUAAUACAUCGGAACAUGUCCUGUAGUGGGGGAUAGCCCGGCGAAAGCCGGAUUAAUACCGCAUACGAUCUACGGAUGAAAGCGGGGGACCUUCGGUCCUCGCGCUAUAGGGUUGGCCGAUGGCUGAUUAGCUCGUUGGUGGGGUAAAUGCCUACCAAGGCGACGAUCAGUAGCUGGUCUUAGAGGACGACCAGCCACACUGGGACUGAGACACGGCCCAGACUCCUACGGGAGGCAGCAGUGGGGAAUUUUGGACAAUGGGCGAAAGCCUGAUCCAGCAAUGCCGCGUGUGUGAAGAAGGCCUUCGGGUUGUAAAGCACUUUUGUCCGGAAAGAAAUCCUUGGCCCUAAUACGGUCGGGGGAUGACGGUACCGGAAGAAUAAGCACCGGCUAACUACGUG
This 486-nucleotide ribosomal RNA is filed under the name uncultured bacterium. RNAcentral describes it as "partial 16S ribosomal RNA". It matches the Rfam family "Bacterial small subunit ribosomal RNA", at positions 30 to 507 of the family's 1533-position model. The record is from RNAcentral.